This 285-nucleotide long non-coding RNA is filed under the name Polistes fuscatus (common paper wasp). RNAcentral describes it as "uncharacterized LOC122513731". Lineage: Eukaryota; Metazoa; Arthropoda; Insecta; Hymenoptera; Vespidae. The record is from RNAcentral.
AAUAUAUUGAUAGAUACAUUCUGGAAAAAAACUAUGUACUAUAAUAUUCCAUCAAAAGAAUUGAAGAAGAAAUGCAUCAUGCAAAUGCAAGAAUGCUUAUUUUACUUACACUGGUAAAAAAUCAUACGCAGUAGUCUUCUAUUAAGAGAAUUAAGAGAUUUAAAAUAAAGUUGUAUCCUAAUAAAAUGUAGUUGCAGUGACAAGCAAUAAUCAAGACACAAAUAUGUAAAAGGUAUUCAAUCAAUGUAAUGGAAAAGAGAGCGUAUGAUUUUUCACUACGAUAAG